Molecule: non-coding RNA, 102 nt
Filed under: uncultured Dorea sp.
Lineage: Bacteria; Bacillati; Bacillota; Clostridia; Lachnospirales; Lachnospiraceae
Description: Glycine riboswitch
Rfam family: Glycine riboswitch aptamer
About the family: This family represents the bacterial glycine riboswitch. Glycine riboswitches usually consist of two metabolite-binding aptamers domains with similar structures in tandem.
Source: RNAcentral
GUUUCUCAAGAGAGAGUUGAUUUUUCGGCCGCCGAAGAGGCAAGCCUGUCAUAUGCUGGUGAUCAUAUGCAGUGUGAAACUUUCAGGCAAAAGGACUGGGAA